Drosophila virilis is the source of this 637-nucleotide long non-coding RNA. RefSeq lists it as uncharacterized. The record is from RefSeq and is a predicted model, not a curated record. Lineage: Eukaryota; Metazoa; Arthropoda; Insecta; Diptera; Drosophilidae.
UGACAGCAUUAACAUUAACAUUUUAAAUUGUGUUCAAGUGAGUUGUAAAAAGAGUAAAAUAUUUACAAGGGAAUAUACAACGAUAUAAAUAUAAACACUUAAAUAUAAGGUGUUAGGCUAUUAAAACGUGUAUAUCAAUAAAAAUUGAGAUGAUUAUGAACAUUUGUUAAAUACAAGGGCAAGCAUUUGCAAUUGGAUAUGGAUGUACGCAUUCACAUAUAUCUCAGCGAGUUGGCUUAUUAGAGGAAAUGGAAAGUGCCGCUUGUUGAAUUUGAAUUAGCAUUGGGCAAACAGUUUGCACAGCUUGGACAGUAUGCACAAUUCAUAGAUAUACGCGUGUAUCUGUGUGAAUAUUAUAUGCUAAUUGGCAUGCAUCUGUGGAGCAGCAGCCUUCAAAAAUUUUGGUAUCGCCGGAUGGGUCCCGGUGUCGGGCAAAUGGCGUGUGACGUGGUGAACAGAGCGCUAAACGAGCCCCAAUACAAAGGCAAAUACAAAUACAAAGACAAGUCCAAACACAGACAGAGACACAGACACAAACACAGGCGCAUAUACGGAACAGACUUGAACAUAAUAUAUAUAAAACAGUUGGCAUAUAAACGUUUCUAAGCGUAGACAAACAUGACGUAAACCUCCAAAA